Molecule: unclassified non-coding RNA, 219 nt
Filed under: root metagenome
Description: partial contains small subunit ribosomal RNA, internal transcribed spacer 1, and 5.8S ribosomal RNA
Source: RNAcentral
UCUCCGUUGGUGAACCAGCGGAGGGAUCAUUACAGGACGUCAUACUCCCGUAAUACCACUGUGAAUCUUACCUUCCGUCGUUGCCUCGGCGGGCGCCUCACCCGCUUGCGGGGGAGGGCCCACGUCCGCCGGCGGCCCGCAUACUCUUGUUUUCGUAUUAGCAUCUCCGAGUAUUAUACAAACGAGUCAAAACUUUCAACAACGGAUCUCUUGGUUCUG